RNAcentral lists this long non-coding RNA (310 nucleotides) under Bos taurus (domestic cattle). Its description in RNAcentral is "long non-coding RNA NONBTAT024818". The record is from RNAcentral. Lineage: Eukaryota; Metazoa; Chordata; Mammalia; Artiodactyla; Bovidae.
AGUGUUCCUCCAUCCAUCAUAGCUCUUCUUUCUUAAAACCGAGUGCCUUUGAUUGUCUUCUCUCCUUUCUCUGCAGUCUCUCCCAUUUCCUGAGUCAUUUGAUUAGCUCUGCCCUGUCUUAAAUGUUUCUUUCCCAUGACCCCACACUCUCUUGUAGUAACUAGCCCGUUGCUCUGCUUCUCUGUGUAGUCAGUCUUUUCCCCACUGUUUAGCCUUCUCUGCAUCCUCACCUCUCAUGUACACUUGAAACUACUGAAACCCACCUCUGCUCCUGCACCUUACCCAGCCAUGUGCCUGUCACUCAAAGGCA